GGGCCCAUAGCUCAGCGGUUAGAGCCCCCGGUUCAUAACCGGUCGGUCCCAGGUUCGAAUCCUGGUGGGCCCA
RNAcentral lists this transfer RNA (73 nucleotides) under Bradymonas sediminis. It matches the Rfam family "tRNA". From Rfam's summary of the family: Transfer RNA (tRNA) molecules are approximately 80 nucleotides in length. Their secondary structure includes four short double-helical elements and three loops (D, anti-codon, and T loops). The record is from Rfam by way of RNAcentral. Lineage: Bacteria; Deltaproteobacteria; Bradymonadales; Bradymonadaceae. RNAcentral also lists the same sequence under 1 other name.